GAUGAACGCUGGCGGCGUGCCUAAUACAUGCAAGUCGAACGAACAGACGCCUACCUUGUUCCUCGGACGUUAGCGGCGGCCGGGUGAGUAACACGUGGUUAACCUCCCUAUAAGACUGGCAUAACUUCCGGAAACCAGUGCUAAUAACAGAUAAUAUAUUGAACCGCUUGGUUCAAUAGUGUAUGACGGUUUUGCUGUCACUUAUGGAUGGAUCCGCGCCGUAUUAGCUAGUUGGUAGGGUAACGGCUUACCAGGGCGGCGAUGCGUAGCCGACCUGAGAGGGUGGUCGGCGACGAUGGAGGGUAGGAGACGUCCAGGGGCCUGCGGAAGGCGGCAGUAGUGAAUCGUACGCAGCGGGGGAAAGCAUGACGGAGCAGCGGCGCGUGGGUGAUGAUGGCCGCCAGUGCGUGAUGCUGUGUUUUUGGGGGUAAACAAGUUUGUAAAUAGAUGUGGGGGGCUUGACGGUAGCUAAUCAGGAAGCCACGGCUAACUACGUG
This 497-nucleotide ribosomal RNA is filed under the name uncultured bacterium. RNAcentral's name for it is "partial 16S ribosomal RNA". It matches the Rfam family "Bacterial small subunit ribosomal RNA", at positions 28 to 507 of the family's 1533-position model. The record is from RNAcentral.